UCCCUGGUGGCUCAGUGGGUUAAGGAUUCGGAGUUGUCACUGCUGUGGCACAGGUUUGAUUCCUGUCCAGUGAA
Molecule: transfer RNA, 74 nt
Filed under: Sus scrofa (pig)
Lineage: Eukaryota; Metazoa; Chordata; Mammalia; Artiodactyla; Suidae
Rfam family: tRNA
About the family: Transfer RNA (tRNA) molecules are approximately 80 nucleotides in length. Their secondary structure includes four short double-helical elements and three loops (D, anti-codon, and T loops).
Source: Rfam by way of RNAcentral